UUGCACAACAAUACAUAUGGUUAAAGCUCGGAGAUUAGUUGAUGAAUAAUUGUAUAUAAUCCGUCUAUCGAAAGAUGUUGACACUUCCCGUUCGGUGCAUCGUAUUUAUUGUUAAAAAAAGUUCAGUACAUCAAGUUGGUUCAAGUGCUACAAUUAAAAUUCCAUCCAAGUGUAAUGAAUAAUGGCUGACUUGCGGGGCUUGUUACCAACCCCCUAAAUUUUCGUAACACCAAAAUUUCCGGUGGCCUAUGGUGCAGAAUUUUGUUUGGCACUAGGACGAUGAUCAGCUUUCCCUAAAAUGGGAAACAGACGCUGUUGUGAGCCGCUUCUAACAUGGAGAACAGACGUUCGAUUAGAUUUGGACCCCAGGAAAUGAUCAAACCUCCCACCUUCCCUGUCAGCGUACGACCCUAGUUCCCACCGGAGUUGGUGACCCGAUCUUCCCUAAGGUGGCUCGUACACUGGCCAGCACCACGGGGAUGUAGGGAUAGGACGAUGGGAGUUGCUGGGUAAGAGGCUGAGGGCCACAAAAUUGGGUCUAUUUUAUUCCUUCAGGGGCGCGAAGCAACAAUGUACAAUGAAGAUUCCAUCCAAGUGGAAUGAAUAAUGGCUGACUAGCAGGGCUUGUCCCCUGAAUUUUCGGAAGACCUAAAUUUCCGGUGGACUAUGGAGCACAAUUUUGCUUGAAGAUCCUCGCCGGCACUCGGACGAUGAUUAGCCUCUCCUAAAAUAGGGAACAGACGCUGGUGUGAGCCGCUUCUAACAUGGAGAAUAGACGCUCGAUUGGAUUUGGACCCCAGGAAAGGAUCAAACCUCCCCCUUCCCUGUCAGCGUACGACCCUAGUUCCCACCGGAGUUGGUGACCCGAUCUUCCCUAAGGUGGCUCGUACACCGGCCAGCACCACGGGGAUGUAGGGAUAGAACGAUGGGAGUUGCUGGGUAAGAAGCUGAGGGCCACGAGAUUAGGUCUAUUUUAUUCCUUCAGGUGCGUGAAGUACCAAUGUUACGCUUUACCAUCCAUUU
Long non-coding RNA from Armigeres subalbatus, 1023 nucleotides. RefSeq lists it as uncharacterized. Lineage: Eukaryota; Metazoa; Arthropoda; Insecta; Diptera; Culicidae. The record is from RefSeq and is a predicted model, not a curated record. The transcript is spliced from 3 exons.